RNAcentral lists this ribosomal RNA (497 nucleotides) under uncultured bacterium. RNAcentral describes it as "partial 16S ribosomal RNA". It matches the Rfam family "Bacterial small subunit ribosomal RNA", at positions 29 to 523 of the family's 1533-position model. The record is from RNAcentral.
AUUGAACGCUAGCGGCAUGCCUUACACAUGCAAGUCGAACGGUAACGCGGGGCAACCUGGCGACGAGUGGCGAACGGGUGAGUAUGCAUCGGAACGUGCCCAGAAGUGGGGGAUAGCCCGGCGAAAGCCGGAUUAAUACCGCAUGAGACCUGAGGGUGAAAGCGGGGGAGCGCAAGACCUCGCGCGUUUGGAGCGGCGGAUGUCAGAUUAGCUAGUUGGUGGGGUAAAGGCCUACCAAGGCGACGAGCUGUAGCUGGUCUGAGAGGACGACCAGCCACACUGGGACUGAGACACGGCCCAGACUCCUACGGGAGGCAGCAGUGGGGAAUUUUGGACAAUGGGCGCAAGCCUGAUCCAGCCAUGCCGCGUGCGGGAAGAAGGCCUUCGGGUUGUAAACCGCUUUUGUCAGGGAAGAAACGCUCUGGGCUAAUACCCUGGGGUAAUGACGGUACCUGAAGAAUAAGCACCGGCUAACUACGUGCCAGCCGCCGCCGUAA